CCUACGGGGGGCUGCAGUGGGGAAUAUUGGACAAUGGGGGCAACCCUGAUCCAGCCAUGCCGCGUGUGUGAAGAAGGCCCUCGGGUUGUAAAGCACUUUCAGUGAGGAAGAACGCCUGGUGGUUAAUACCCAUCAGGAAAGACAUCACUCACAGAAGAAGCACCGGCUAACUCCGUGCCAGCAGCCGCGGUAAUACGGAGGGUGCGAGCGUUAAUCGGAAUUACUGGGCGUAAAGCGCGCGUAGGUGGCUUGAUAAGCCGGUUGUGAAAGCCCCGGGCUCAACCUGGGAACGGCAUCCGGAACUGUCAAGCUAGAGUGCAGGAGAGGAAGGUAGAAUUCCCGGUGUAGCGGUGAAAUGCGUAGAGAUCGGGAGGAAUACCAGUGGCGAAGGCGGCCUUCUGGACUGACACUGACACUGAGGUGCGAAAGCGUGGGUAGCAAACAGGAUUAGAUACCCCUGUAGUC
This 465-nucleotide ribosomal RNA is filed under the name Vreelandella stevensii. Its description in RNAcentral is "partial 16S ribosomal RNA". It matches the Rfam family "Bacterial small subunit ribosomal RNA", at positions 338 to 795 of the family's 1533-position model. Lineage: Bacteria; Pseudomonadati; Pseudomonadota; Gammaproteobacteria; Oceanospirillales; Halomonadaceae. The record is from RNAcentral.